CUGCAGCCACACUUGGAGUGAUUGAAAAGUUAAAUCAGAGGAGAAGGAGAAAGGACUCAGAGCAAAGCAGAGUCAUUGUUUACCUCCCGUGUUGGUUUUGAGAUGGUAUCGAGCUGCAGAGCAGGAACUCAAACAGCAGGGACUGACUUUGAUCAAACACAUCCUUCCUUCCCUCCUGCACCUGGGAGGAGCUCCUGCAGCCCGGCAUCCCCCGAGAGGGACAGGGCACUGCCACCCUGGGGUGAGGGACAGGGCACUGCCAGCCUGGAGAGAGGGACAGGGGCACUGCCAGCCUGGGGAGAGGGACAGGGCACUGCCAGCCUGGGGUGAGGGACAGGGCACUGCCACCCUGGGGUGAGGGACAGGGCACUGCCAGCCUGGGGUGAGGGACAGGGGCACUGCCAGCCUGGGGAGAGGGACAGGGGCACUGCCAGCCUGGGGUGAGGGACAGGGCACUGCCAGCCUGGGGUGAGGGACAGGGGCACUGCCAGCCUGGGGUGAGGGACAGGGGCACUGCCAGCCUGGGGAGAGGGACAGGGCACUGCCAGCCUGGGGUGAGGGACAGGGCACUGCCAGCCUGGAGAGAGGAACAGGGGCACUGCCAGCCUAGGGUGAGGGACAGGGCACUGCCAGCCUGGGGUGAGGGACAGGGGCACUGCCAGCCUGGGGAGAGGGACAGGGCACUGCCAGCCUGGGGUGAGGGACAGGGCACUGCCAGCCUGGGGUGAGGGACAGGGCACUGCCACCCUGGGGUGAGGGACAGGGCACUGCCAGCCUGGGGUGAGGGACAGGGCACUGCCAGCCUGGGGUGAGGGACAGGGGCACUGCCAGCCUGGGGAGAGGGACAGGGCACUGCCAGCCUGGGGUGAGGGACAGGGGCACUGCCAGCCUGGGGUGAGGGACAGGGGCACUGCCAGCCUGGGGUGAGGGACAGGGGCACUGCCAGCCCUGCAGAGGUGCCAAGAGAAUUCCCUGCUCUCCUCGGGAUCCCACCACAGCUGGAAUACAAGAGGAGCUGGGAUCAGAAUGAAACAGGGUGGACACUGGGCUGCUCACAGAGGAGCAGCCAGAGCCUGGAGUUUUCCAGAAAAAUCCGAGUUUCAGCACAGAAAGUGCUCCCCCAGGCCUCACCUAAAGGUACAGAGCUGGCACCAGGCCAGGAAAACUUCUGAGCCAGGGAGGGAACUGAAUUCCCUGGGGAAAACUGAAUUCCUGGGGGAAACUGAAUUCCCUUGGAGGAAACUGAAUUCCCUGGAGGGAACUGAACAUCCUGGAGGAAUCUGAAUUCCCUAGAGGGAACUAAAUUCCCUGGGGGAAACUGAACAUCCUGGAGGAAUCUGAAUUCCUUGGAGGAAACUGAAUUCCCUGGAGAGAGCUGAAUUCCCUUGGAGGGAACUGAAUUCCCUGAAGGAAUCUGAAUUCUCUAGGGGAAACUCAAUUUCCUGGAGGAAGCAGAAUUCCCUUGGAGGGAACUGAAUUUUCUGAGGAAAACUGAAUUCCUUGGAGGGAACUGAAUUCCCUUGGAGGGAACUGAACAUCCUGGAGGAAUCUGAAUUCCCUUGGAGGAAUCUGAAUUCCCUUGGAGGAAGCAGAAUUCCCUUGGAGGAAGCAGAAUUCCCUUGAGGGAACUGAAUUCCCUUGGAGGAAACUGAACAUCCUGGAGGAAGCAGAAUUCCUUGGGGGAAACUGAAUUCCCUCCCUGACCUGACACCCUGAACCCACCUUGAGCAACCCCACAGCACAACCUGCCCAGGAGGAUUUCUCCCGGCUAAAGCAGCUCCAGGCAGGCGGGGAGCCCGGGCUGGCAGAGUGCAGGGCUGUCCAGGACAUAGAAUCUGCUCCCCUUUUCCUCUGGGAUUGUCCAGGACAUCGAAUCACCUCCCCUUCUCCCCAGGGCUGUCCAGGACAUGGAACCUGCUCCCCUUUUCCUCUGGGACUAUCCAGGACAUGGAAUAUGCUCCCCUUCUCCCCAGGGCUGGCCAGGGCAUGGAAUCAUCUCCCCUUUUCCCCUGGGAUUGUCCAGGACAUGGAAUCAGCUCCCCUGGGACUCUUCAGGACAUGGAAUCUUCUCCCCUUUUCCUUUGGGAUUGUCCAGGAAUGGAAUCAGCUCCCCUUUUCCUCUGGGACUGUCCAGGACAUGGAACCUGUUCCCCUUUUCCUUUGGGAUUGCCCAGGACACAGAAUCAGCUCCCCUUUUUUCCAGGGCUGUCCAGGACUUGGAAUCAGCUCCCCUUCACCUGGAAUAGAAAUUUCUUUCCCCCAGAACUCCCCUUCACAUGGAAUCUGCUCCCCUUUUCCUUUGGGACUCUCCAGGACAUGGAAUCUGCUCCCCUUUUCCCCAGGAACCCACAGCAGCAGAGCACUGCUUUGUAUAAAACCGAGCCCAGCUUUUGUAGGAGGCAAAAAUAAAUGAAAAAUAAAUAAAUAAAACUUUGUAUCCUU
Haemorhous mexicanus (house finch) is the source of this 2442-nucleotide long non-coding RNA. RefSeq lists it as uncharacterized. The transcript is spliced from 3 exons. The record is from RefSeq and is a predicted model, not a curated record. Lineage: Eukaryota; Metazoa; Chordata; Aves; Passeriformes; Fringillidae.